AAGAAAUCAUAGUAAGCCGCUAACUUACACACAGCAAAUAAUUUUGUUAUUUCUUU
This 56-nucleotide transfer RNA is filed under the name Neelides sp. FZ-2019. Its description in RNAcentral is "tRNA-Ser". Lineage: Eukaryota; Metazoa; Arthropoda; Collembola; Neelipleona; Neelidae. The record is from RNAcentral.